Molecule: ribosomal RNA, 456 nt
Filed under: uncultured bacterium
Lineage: Bacteria
Description: bacterial SSU rRNA
Rfam family: Bacterial small subunit ribosomal RNA
Source: RNAcentral
AGGCAGCAGUGGGGAAUUUUGCGCAAUGGGCGAAAGCCUGACGCAGCAACGCCGCGUGAGUGAUGAAGGCUUUCGGGUCGUAAAGCUCUGUCGAGGGGAAAGAAAUGUAUUUAGGUUAAUACCCUUUAUACUUGACGGUACCCCUAAAGGAAGCACCGGCUAACUCCGUGCCAGCAGCCGCGGUAAUACGGGGGGUGCAAGCGUUGUUCGGAAUUAUUGGGCGUAAAGAGCGUGUAGGCGGUUUGUUUAGUCUGAUGUGAAAGCCCUGGGCUCAACCCAGGAAGUGCAUUGGAAACUGGCAGACUUGAAUACGGGAGAGGGCAGUGGAAUUCCUAGUGUAGGAGUGAAAUCCGUAGAUAUUAGGAGGAACACCGGUGGCGAAGGCGGCUGCCUGGACCGAUAUUGACGCUGAGACGCGAAAGCGUGGGUAGCAAACAGGAUUAGAUACCCUGGUAG